GGAGAGAUGUCCGAGUUGGUCGAAGGAGCACGACUGGAAAUCGUGUAGACGCGCCAAAACGCGUCUCGAGGGUUCGAAUCCCUCUCUCUCCGCCA
RNAcentral lists this transfer RNA (95 nucleotides) under Paenibacillaceae bacterium ZCTH02-B3. Its description in RNAcentral is "tRNA-Ser". It matches the Rfam family "tRNA". From Rfam's summary of the family: Transfer RNA (tRNA) molecules are approximately 80 nucleotides in length. Their secondary structure includes four short double-helical elements and three loops (D, anti-codon, and T loops). Further hydrogen bonds mediate the characteristic L-shaped molecular structure. tRNAs have two regions of fundamental functional importance: the anti-codon, which is responsible for specific mRNA codon recognition, and the 3' end, to which the tRNAs corresponding amino acid is attached (by aminoacyl-tRNA synthetases). tRNAs cope with the degeneracy of the genetic code in two manners: having more than one tRNA (with a specific anti-codon) for a particular amino acid; and 'wobble' base-pairing, i.e. permitting non-standard base-pairing at the 3rd anti-codon position. The record is from RNAcentral. Lineage: Bacteria; Bacillati; Bacillota; Bacilli; Caryophanales; Paenibacillaceae.